Long non-coding RNA from Sorghum bicolor (sorghum), 4471 nucleotides. RefSeq lists it as uncharacterized. The record is from RefSeq and is a predicted model, not a curated record. The transcript is spliced from 2 exons. NCBI's taxonomy places the organism in Eukaryota, Viridiplantae, Streptophyta, Magnoliopsida, Poales, Poaceae.
AUAUCCCACGCCUCUCCCCCUCCCUCCUUCUCUCGCCCCCGGCGUCUCCAGGCGGCAGCGGCCAUGGCGAUAGCGACCUCCGUGAAGGCGGCCCUCUUUUCCCGUCUCUUAACUUCCCCUCUCUCCUUCCGACCUCUUAAGAAGCCCGACCUCUGCAGAAGCGAACAGGGCGACGACACAGGCAGCACCCGCCGGCGCGGGCGGAGCCCGACAACACCCUCCAUUCCCCCCUCAACGCGCGAGCGGGCCCCUGCGCCACGGGUGCCGCGGCCGGCGCGCGAGCUCCUACCGUGGCCAGGCGCCUUGCGCGGCGGCGUGGCGCCCAGGCAAGGCCAGACCCUAGCGUGGUGGUGCGGCGGAGUGGCACCCAGGCGAGGCCUCCCCCACACGCGGCUGCAACCCGGCGCAGCGGCCACAGCCGCGGCCACGCCCCCACGGCUCCUUGUGUGCUUGCUUCUAUUUCCUUGAAGUUUUUCAUUUGGUGUUAGUUUUACUCUCACCAACAGAUCGGUUCUACCUCAAGCAAACCACUAAUAUGGCAGAUACUUCACAUUAAUUUUGCGUUGUUUACAAUUCUGCUAUUUAUUUGCUCGUGUGCCUACUAAUUAAAAUUAUUUUUACCAUUUUACAGGAAGUCAGGAACUCAACACACUAUAGUAAAGAUGGGCAGUAAUCAUGAAUUGAACAAAGAACUUAUACUCUGCAGUUAUUAAACUGGUAUAUCAUAUCUCCCUUUGCUUUCUUAAUUUAUUGUUUGUGUUGUUUUGCCCCUAUCAUUUCCAAGCCAAACUAAUUUUGGUAUUUGAAUAAUUCAUGAUGUUUAGAGCUGCACUAUUUACUUGCUUGUGUGCUAGCGAAUAGAAUUUAUUUUUCAGCAUUUCACAAGAGCUGAGUAAGGUACCCUUGUAUCAAGUUCUGAAAAAAAUAGGUGUUGUGUUCUGAAAAAUUAGGUGCUGUGUGCAAGUUCAUCCAUGUAAGUCAGGGAGAGUCCUGGCUUAACAAAUUUGCCAGUUUGUUUUAGUGCUCUUUAUGGUCACUAUUUCAAAUCAAGGACGUUGCACAUGCAAUCAACUAAUUUGUUUUACCGUGAAUUUAACAAGCUGCCAUUUGUAUCAUGUGCUAUUCAAUUGUGAUUAGCAGGUUUGUAACUAAUAUAUUUAGAUCUGAAAUAUGGUUUCGGGUGACAUGGAAAACAAUGUACAAGUCCUUCAGGUGUGGAGACAAAUUGGCUCCUAUCCAAGAGGAUAUAAGCAUCUUAGCAAGCAGAGUAGGUUCCAACUGGUACAAGAAAAUGGAUAACAUGUGAGAGAGCAAGAUACCCCAACAGCUAGAUGAUCUGUCCAUCCCACCUUGCUGCUGGAUCCCUCCCCUCACCAGAUCUCUGUGUAAUGCUAGAUGUGAGGCUUCCCUUACUUCAUCUUCAUUGUGGUAUGAGUAACCCAUCUGUUUUGGUAGGUUUCCUUGGUCUAUUAUUGUUUAUGCAUUUUAGCUUUUCUGGUCUCAGAUUCCUUUUUCAUGAUUUUCUGCUAAGUGUAUCGAUUUAUGAGCGAUUUGUGAGAAAAUAUACUCUGAUAGCAUUCGGGCAAUAUUGCGUAUAGAAACAGUUCGUACUACUCUUGCAGCACCUGUCCAAUCCAUGUUUACCAUAUCUCAGGUCAUAUUAUUAGCAGGUUGAUAGCUUCUCUUCUUUAUUUUUCCAAGCACUCUAUUCCCUUAUUUAAUAUUCUUUCAAACAAAUUUUCUCCUUAUAACCUAUGCUUGCCUGCGAACUGCUGCUCUUCCUUCCCUCCUCUCCCCUUCUGUAUUUCUUGGAAAAGGGAAAGUAGAACAGUUUGAGAAGCUAUUUAUAUAUAAAAUGAAAUAAUAUAAAUCUAUAGGCAAAUUUGUCUUAAUCUUGGUUUAUUUAUGCCAUAACUCAUUUUUUUAAUAUUUCCAUGGCUGAGUUCCAUCCCCUCUAUAUCAGUCUUAAUCUCCAAAAUGCCUCAUUUACCUGACUUAUUUUUUGCACCUUAUGAAUGUUGAACCUGACUGCCCUUUGGUCUAAAUCUAUUUUAUUUUCCUCCUACAUUGCCCUUUGGUCUAAAUCUACUUUAUUUUCCUCCUGCACUGAAUACUAUUUUACAUACUCAGAUAAGAGGCACCAAUGAUAAUUCUUACUAACCAUGGGGGUUCGGGAAGAUAAAUGCUCCAAUAGUGGAGCUGACAACGAUGUCUUACUCUACAACCUCUCUGGGUCAAGUUUGUGAUUGUUUCAUGCCCCCUAUUCUUAUGUGGUUUGAGUUUAAGACUGGCUUGCUCCGACAGCUCAAAAGAAAUGAUCUGCUAAUAGGCCAGGUGACAACUAUUUAUAAUCUCAAAUCAAAGUAAGAACUAUUAUUGUGCUUUAUUCCAAAUCCCAAAGGGGGAAUUUGUGGGUUGCCUUGGAUCUUUGCUUUGGAUUUUCUACGCAAUCCAUUCAGUAUCUUUGCUCUGAAUUUUGGAGUUUGGCCGGUCUCAGUACUAGUUACUAAAUUCAUGAUGUCACGGUAAGCCACCACAAUGAAUAUUCAUAGUUUAACUACGUUUUUGUAUGCAUAUAAAAAAUGUUUAUUCCUACAAAGUGCUAAGUAGAGUCAGUUCUACAUGAUCAAUCGGUAUAAAUAAUAUUUAUUCUUGCAAUGUUUUAUCCUUGCACUGGUAUUGAUAACUAAUUAGUGUUCAGUAUACCAGAUGAAGGUUCACUCUGAUGAUUCACAUUCAUCAGUAACAUUUUGGUUUUGUUACAAUACUUUGCUAUCUAAUUGGUUUGCCUUUUAUUUUUUGUAGGGUUCUCUUCGAACAAGACAAUAGAUUAUUGUUCAGCUGACAUGUCUGUGAGUUCAGAUAUCUGGAAACUGAAGUUGUGCUUCAGUUUGUUUCCUGGUGUCUUAGAAUUUAGGAUUUACACCAGGCAUCCAUUUUUUCUCUUUGCACAUAUGCCUUAUUGGCCUUCACAAAUUAGCUAGAUACAUUCAUUAUCUAUUUCGAUUCCAACUUUCACUAUUAAUUUAUAUGUUCAACUUUUUUUAGUAUCUGCAGUCAAUACAGUUAUUCUUGAUCGGUAAAUAUGUUCGUUCAAGUUAUUUUCCUUGAACUCCUAGGUUUUAAAGAUAAUUUUUUUGUUGCCAUUUUAUUGGGAUAUCUAUCCAUUGUGAAUGGUCCUCACCAUGCUAUUAUUUGAAUCAAAUUGUUGCCACCCAGUUGUGAAUGAAUGUGCAAUUGUGUACCUUUUUAAAGCUCCAUCUGUUCUGCCCGCUUUUACAUUACUAAUAGCAUAUCACUAUCACAUUACUACAAUCAUAUCUGUGAGGUUAUCAUUGUUACAUGACCUGCUCGCUACCUUGUGCUUGUAUACAAGUCAUAAUUGUCAGUUUAAAGCAUAUUUCAGCCACACCAGAAGUCAUAUUGAUGGAUUGACAACACAAAUAGUAUGAAUCUUAAGGUGUUUAGGUAUAACUGAUUUGCCAAUCCUUCCAUUCAGUUUUAUUUUUUUGUUUUGGAGGUCAGCUAAUUAGCACAUAGCAGCCAUCAGUUUGAACAUCCAUCUUUUGUACUGUUAUACUAAAUGAAAUUAUCACGGGAGGUAGCAAGAUGAGACACUAUAUGAUUUUUUAACUUCCCAAUUAUGUGCUUGGAAGAGAUGGCUACUCACAAUGCUGAAAACUGUGUAUGGAUUCAGUGUCAUUUGAAAGUCUAUACAGAUGAGGAGAAACAUUUUGAUGCUAUAACUGGCCUGAAGUAUGUAGCUAAAAUAGGGUCUCAUUCGAGAGUGAAAAUUUGUGAUAACAUUACAAUCAAGUUCUAUUGUUUUUAGAUCGAGAUCUCCUAGAUUUAGAAUUAAGAUUGCAUGUAUGAAAGCCAUUUACGUGGGUUGAUCCCUAGUACUGCAUAACUUGAUUUUUGCUUUAAGUGUCGAAGUUUUUUUUAUUGCAGUUGUGAUACAAAUAGUCUUUGUGGCGCUAAUUUAUGGUUCCUUGAUCUCCAUGCAACCAAAGCAUAGGAGAACCAUGGUGACAUGAUUAUUCACUGUGAGGGCACCCUUGACUCUCCAAACCCAAUCCCAAACCGAUAAAUAAUUGCAACUGGAUUUGAUCUGCUAUUCCUGUAUUUGGUUCCUGUUUUUUUUAAUAAUUUGUGAUUUUGAAAGUAUUUUAGUGUUGCGGAAAAGGUCUAAUUGCAAGCAGCACUGAAAAUUUAAAUUUGGUCUCCAUAUACUACACACUUGGUACCAGUCUACCACCGUACUUUGUACCAAGAAACUUUUCUUCGCUAUCGUUUAUUAAUUCCUUAUGUUCUUAGGAGAGCCACCCGCUGUUUCCUUACCAUGUCUGCCCUAUGUACUCCCAGCCUUAAAAGGAAUGCCAGGCUACUACUAAGAAAAAAUUAUCACUCCACCUGAUUUUUGUAUAUUACAUCGUAGCUUCAGUUACAUGUAACCUACUAUAGUUGUGUA